CUUUAUUCUGUGUCUCUGUGUGUUGUGUGUUCUGUGUGUUCUCUGUGACAUCAGAAAUGGGCUAGAAAGGAGGAUUCUUUCAUGGGCUCCAUGACAUUAGGUCAUUCCCAUAUCUCAGUUUUCCUGCCUAAAAGUGGGACUUAUAAACCCUCCCUUGCUCAGAUGUUAGGAUGGGAGGAUUAAGAUUGCAAACAUUAUUGCUGUGCCUUUCAGCUAAAAGAUUAUGAGCAAUUUAAGGAUCAGAAUGGGGUCUGUAUAAUCUCUGUUGCAUCAUGCCUAACAUAAGCCCACAGGGAACCUUCAUAUAUAAUUAACAUUUUCUGCAUCAGAGAGGAGGGAAUCAGAGUGAUGAAGAAGAAAAGGAACUUGACAGCUUAGAGUAUGGAAAAAGUUUGCUUUCAGAGCAGUCUACAGUGUGAAAAUUGCAGAAAUCCUCUGUCUUUCACACACACCACAGCCAGAACCAGGGGGAAUCACCUCUCUCUUUUAGACAUAUUUCAUGAAGUGAUUUGUCAGUGCUUUCAAGAACAUGUUGCUUCCAGGAUAGAUUUCCUUGUGUAUGCCCUGGAUCUGGAACUAACACCACUGCCAACUUCAUCUUCCUCAGUUCCACUGCCACUUCUUUGCAUGAGAAAUAAGAAGUCAAGAAAUGUGGAGUGAUCAUCCAUAAAUGGUUUUACCUGCAUCACCAAUGAGACUCCCCACCACCACAUUUUUAAAAAAAGAGAAAGAGAAAGGAAAACAAAAAAAACCUCUUUGUUACAAAGAAGCAUAAUAAAUCAAAAGGCACUCACA
This 795-nucleotide long non-coding RNA is filed under the name Monodelphis domestica (gray short-tailed opossum). RNAcentral's name for it is "lncRNA (ENSMODG00000037215.1)". Lineage: Eukaryota; Metazoa; Chordata; Mammalia; Didelphimorphia; Didelphidae. The record is from RNAcentral.